UACACUCCUACGGGAGGCAGCAGUGGGGAAUAUUGCACAAUGGGCGCAAGCCUGAUGCAGCCAUGCCGCGUGUAUGAAGAAGGCCUUCGGGUUGUAAAGUACUUUCAGCGGGGAGGAAGGCGAUAAGGUUAAUAACCUUGUCGAUUGACGUUACCCGCAGAAGAAGCACCGGCUAACUCCGUGCUAGCAGCCGCGGUAAUACGGAGGGUGCAAGCGUUAAUCGGAAUUACUGGGCGUAAAGCGCACGCAGGCGGUCUGUCAAGUCGGAUGUGAAAUCCCCGGGCUCAACCUGGGAACUGCAUUCGAAACUGGCAGGCUAGAGUCUUGUAGAGGGGGGUAGAAUUCCAGGUGUAGCGGUGAAAUGCGUAGAGAUCUGGAGGAAUACCGGUGGCGAAGGCGGCCCCCUGGACAAAGACUGACGCUCAGGUGCGAAAGCGUGGGGAGCAAACAGGAUUAGAAACCCCGGUAGUCCCAUGAU
RNAcentral lists this ribosomal RNA (478 nucleotides) under uncultured organism. RNAcentral's name for it is "partial 16S ribosomal RNA". It matches the Rfam family "Bacterial small subunit ribosomal RNA", at positions 332 to 801 of the family's 1533-position model. The record is from RNAcentral.